Molecule: ribosomal RNA, 504 nt
Filed under: Cerithidea obtusa
Lineage: Eukaryota; Metazoa; Mollusca; Gastropoda; Potamididae
Description: partial 16S ribosomal RNA
Rfam family: Bacterial large subunit ribosomal RNA
Source: RNAcentral
GGCUCUUUGUUUCACCCACAUAAAGAGUCGAGCCUGCCCAGUGAAGAAUUUUAACGGCCGCGGUACUCUGACCGUGCAAAGGUAGCAUAAUCAUUUGCCUUAUAAUUGAAGGCUAGUAUGAAUGGUUUGACGAAAGCAGAUCUGUCUCCUUUUUACUUUUUAGAACUUGACCUUUAGGUGAAGAGGCCUAAAUAUUAUUGAAGGACAAGAAGACCCUGUCGAGCUUAAAAGAGAUGUGCGGAAGUUAAUAUUCCCCUAAAUAAAUAACCCGUUAAGCUUUUUAGUUGGGGCGACUGAGGAACAAAAAAAGCUUCUUAAUCAAAAAAGACUAACAAGUUUAGAUCCAACCAGUUUGAUUUAAGAAAUUAGUUACCGCAGGGAUAACAGCAUAAUCUCCUUUGAGAGACCUAAUCGAAAAGGGGGGUUGUGACCUCGAUGUUGGACUAGAAUAUCCUAAAGAUGCAGAAGUCUUUAAAGGUUGGUCUGUUCGACCAUAAAAAUUCU